GACGAACGCUGGCGGCGUGCUUAACACAUGCAAGUCGAACGGAAAGGCCCUGCUUUUGUGGGGUGCUCGAGUGGCGAACGGGUGAGUAACACGUGAGUAACCUGCCCUUGACUUUGGGAUAACUUCAGGAAACUGGGGCUAAUACCGGAUAGGAGCUCCUGCUGCAUGGUGGGGGUUGGAAAGUUUCGGCGGUUGGGGAUGGACUCGCGGCUUAUCAGCUUGUUGGUGGGGUAGUGGCUUACCAAGGCUUUGACGGGUAGCCGGCCUGAGAGGGUGACCGGCCACAUUGGGACUGAGAUACGGCCCAGACUCCUACGGGAGGCAGCAGUGGGGAAUAUGGCACAACGGGCGGAAGUCUGAUGCAGCAACGCCGCGUGCGGGAUGACGGCCUUCGGGUUGUAAACCGCUUUCGCCUGUGACGAAGCGUGAGUGACGGUAAUGGGUAAAGAAGCACCGGCUAACUACGUG
Molecule: ribosomal RNA, 468 nt
Filed under: uncultured bacterium
Lineage: Bacteria
Description: partial 16S ribosomal RNA
Rfam family: Bacterial small subunit ribosomal RNA
Source: RNAcentral